RNAcentral lists this ribosomal RNA (301 nucleotides) under uncultured bacterium. Its description in RNAcentral is "partial 16S ribosomal RNA". It matches the Rfam family "Bacterial small subunit ribosomal RNA", at positions 509 to 807 of the family's 1533-position model. The record is from RNAcentral.
CAGUCGCCACGGGAAUACGAACCGUCCGAACGUUAUUCGGAAUUACUGGGCUUAAAGCGCGUGUAGGCGGCUGGGCACGUCCGGUGCUGAAAUCCCCCGGCUUAACCGGGGAAGUGGCACGGAUACGGCCUGGCUGGAGGGAGGUAGGGGUGUCUGGAACUUCGGGUGGAGCGGUGAAAUGCGUUGAGAUUCGAAGGAACGCCCGUGGCGAAAGCGAGGCCCUGGACCUUUUCUGACGCUGAGACGCGAAAGCCAGGGGAGUGAACGGGAUUAGAUACCCCAGUAGUCCCUGUCUCUUAUA